Molecule: small nucleolar RNA, 92 nt
Organism: Cannabis sativa
Lineage: Eukaryota; Viridiplantae; Streptophyta; Magnoliopsida; Rosales; Cannabaceae
Product: small nucleolar RNA R24
Exons: 1
Source: RefSeq, a predicted model, not a curated record
UCUGCGGUGAUGAGGCUUUAACAUGUAAGACAAACCAUCUUUGUGAUGGUUUGUCAGUGAGAUAUUCUUGUUACGCUUGGCUUCUGAGUAUA